RNAcentral lists this ribosomal RNA (256 nucleotides) under uncultured bacterium. RNAcentral's name for it is "partial 16S ribosomal RNA". It matches the Rfam family "Bacterial small subunit ribosomal RNA", at positions 524 to 777 of the family's 1533-position model. The record is from RNAcentral.
GACGUAGGGUCCGAGCGUUUGUCCGGAAUUACUGGGCGUAAAGCGCGCGCAGGCGGUUGGUCGCAUCGGCGGUGAAAGCCCCCCCGCUCAACGGGGGAGGGUCCGUCGAGAUGGGCCGACUGGAGGCAGGGAGAGGUCAGUGGAAUUCCGGGUGUAGUGGUGAAAUGCGUAGAGAUCCGGAGGAACACCAGUGGCGAAGGCGGCUGACUGGACCUGACCUGACGCUGAGGCGCGAAGGCGUGGGGAGCGAACGGGG